CCUAUAAAGGGACGAGCAGGAGGCAGGUCAGCACUCUUCCGUCACAUCUUCCGCAUCGCGCUGAGCGCCGCUCCAAGCUCUGAGGCACCAUGAAGCUGCUGUUUUUGCUGUCGGCGUUGAUCGGCUUGCUGCAGGUGGCCCAAGUGCAGGGCCUCCUUGGUUUGGGCCUCCUCAAGGCUGGUGCCCUCGGGUUCGCCCUCGGCAGGGGCGGCAGGGGCUUCGGCGGCCGAGGCUUCGGUCGCCGCGGCGGCUACGGCGGUCGCCGCGGCUACGGCG
Molecule: long non-coding RNA, 276 nt
Organism: Pollicipes pollicipes
Lineage: Eukaryota; Metazoa; Arthropoda; Thecostraca; Pollicipedomorpha; Pollicipedidae
Exons: 3
Source: RefSeq, a predicted model, not a curated record